AGGCUGAUAGGUUAAUUUAAACUGUGGGGUUCAUGUCCCCUUAAUAUGUGUUACACAUUUGGCUGA
RNAcentral lists this transfer RNA (66 nucleotides) under Cephalochlamys namaquensis. RNAcentral's name for it is "tRNA-Met". The record is from RNAcentral. Lineage: Eukaryota; Metazoa; Platyhelminthes; Cestoda; Pseudophyllidea; Cephalochlamydidae.